GAUGAACGCUGGCGGCGUGCCUAAUACAUGCAAGUCGAGCGAACGGACGAGAAGCUUGCUUCUCUGAUGUUAGCGGCGGACGGGUGAGUAACACGUGGAUAACCUACCUAUAAGACUGGGAUAACUUCGGGAAACCGGAGCUAAUACCGGAUGAUAUUUUGAACCGCAUGGUUCAACAGUGAAAGACGGUCUUGCUGUCACUUAUAGAUGGAUCCGCGCUGCAUUAGCUAGUUGGUAAGGUAACGGCUUACCAAGGCAACGAUGCAUAGCCGACCUGAGAGGGUGUUGGCCGAUGUAGGAACUGAGACACGGUGCAGAAACCUACGAGAGGCAGCAGUAGCGAACCAACCACAAAGGGAGAAAGCCGGACGGAGAAACGCCGGGGGAGUGAUGAAGGUCUUCGAAGAGUAUAGCGCUAUAAUAGGGGGAGAACAUAUGUGUAAAUAAAUGUGCGAAUCUUGACGGUACCUAAGAAGAAGGAAACGGCUAACUCCGU
RNAcentral lists this ribosomal RNA (496 nucleotides) under uncultured bacterium. RNAcentral describes it as "partial 16S ribosomal RNA". It matches the Rfam family "Bacterial small subunit ribosomal RNA", at positions 28 to 506 of the family's 1533-position model. The record is from RNAcentral.